Molecule: long non-coding RNA, 5534 nt
Organism: Antechinus flavipes (yellow-footed antechinus)
Lineage: Eukaryota; Metazoa; Chordata; Mammalia; Dasyuromorphia; Dasyuridae
Exons: 5
Source: RefSeq, a predicted model, not a curated record
AAAAAUUUUUUAGUCUUAAUAGUAUUUUAUUUUUCCAAAUACAUGCAAAGAGAGUUUUUAACAUUCACCUUUAUAGCUAACAUUUAUUAAACAGCUAUUAUGAACCAGGUACUGUGUUAAGCACUUCACAACUAUCCCAUUUGAGCCUAUAGGUGCCAUUAUCAUCCUCACUUUAAGAUGGGGAAACUGGGGCCAAAGGAGGUUAAGUGGCUCUUCUAGAUCCCCAUUUGAGCAUUUUUUGACAAAGAUAUUGGAAUGAUUUGCCAUUUCUAGGCAAACUGAGGCAAACAGGGUUGAGUGACUUGCCCAGAGUCAUACUUCCCAGGAGACCUAGUUUUGUGCACUGCAUCAUGGAGAUAGCUCUUUCCCCUCCUUCCAAGCCCCAACCCCCCGCACUGGAAGCUGCUCGUUGCCCAUCUAGACCUCUUCUAGUAACUCCCGGAGAGCGCGCGGCAGGGCUAGGCCACGAGGGCCCACGUGACAGAGACCCGGAAAGCCGCGGAGCGUUCCAAGCUCAGCUCCGGUCCAGCUGAGAGGUCCCCGCUUACCCCCGCGCCCGCUCUGCCCCAAUCCAUGCGCCUGCGCACCGGCGCGGGGCAGGGCCGGGAGAAGCUCCGGCGCUAGGCUCCUCCUCCCCUCGCUUUCGCUUUCACUUUCCCAGCUGCUGAGGGUUCUUGCUCUUGGGGUACAUGGAAAAUGAAAAGGGAGACUUUCUACUUUUCCCUGUCCGCUGGAAGCUGGACUUUCAUGCCCGCCGCUGGCCGAGCCUCGUGAGUGCUGAUGUUGGAUAACCAUGUAAUCAUUCAUUUGGAGAAACAUUUACUUUUACAUGAAGAAAUUGAAAUAGGUGUAGCUGGUUCUGUUCAUCACAAUUGGAACUGAUUUGGAUCCUCUCAUUGCUGAAGAUAGCCGCUUCCAUCCGAACUGAUCCAACAACAGUAUUGUUGUUGAAGUGUAUAAUGAUCUCCUGGUUCUGCUCAUUUCACUUAGCAUCAGUUCAUGAGAGAGCUACUCAAGGUUGCCAGCCUGGAAGGGUUGUUUAUGCUGAAAGAUGGGAAGAAUGUAUCAACUCUAACCUCAGAGUGACACCGCCUGGGUCUCUGAGGGCCCCUGGGGAAAAGCUGUACCAGGAUCGCUGGGUACCACACUGGCAAAAACCUCCAGGGGCCUCAGUUUUUCAUCACAGCAAGGAGUGGACGGUCGUGGGCUUGCCCUCUGCCACCUCCCUCUGGCCACUGCGCUGCCGCCGUGUCUGGGAGCCAGCAGAGCCACUGUCUUCUGCCUCUGAAGCCAAAGCCUUUGCCCGACGUCUGCUCACCAGGACCCACUGCUCUGUCGGAUCAGCGUAGGACAACUGAGCUCGUAAGCCCUGUGAUAGAACAGUGGUGUUUUAGAUCUGACUGUUGUUGCUGCCAUUGCUGGGACCUGAAUCUUCCUCACUAUAACACAUCACAAUAAUGAUAAUAAUAACAACAUUAACAGAGUGCCUACUACCAUGUACCAAGCACUGUGCUUUACAAAUAUCUCAUUUGAAUGUCCAGCAACUUUGAGUGUGGUUAUCCCCAUUUUACAGUUGAGAAGAAUGAGGCAGACAGAAGUUAAGUAAUGGGCCUAGAGACCAACAGCUGGUGUCUGAGGGGAGAUUUGAGUUCAGAUCUUUUUGACUCCUGGCACUCCUGCUGCAUACAGUACACACAAACAUGGCUGUUUCCCUCUGCAGACAAUUGCUGGGGGCCUGCAAUGUUCUCCAGUCUGGGGGAGCACUGUGGGUGCUGCUACUGUUGGGUUAGAAGUCGGCUUUUCUGUGCUGAGGGACAGACACAGCAGCACAGAUUCCUCUAGGCAGGUUCCUGGCUCUGUCUCCUCUGGGCAAGCAGUUGCUAUUUCUGCUGCAGGUAGGAAAAUGCUCCUGGGGCCUGAGCUCCGUACUCCUCAGGGGCUGGCCCUUCGAUGCAGGCUUCAGAGAGCAAAUUACAAUUCACAGUUUGGAGAUUUUUGAUGAUCAGCGAGGCAGACUCAGGCCUUCUCAGCAAUACAGUGAUCCAUUACAAUUCCAAUAGACUUGGGGUGGAAAACGCAAUCCACUUCCAGAAGGAGAACUAUGGAGACUGAAUGAGGAUCGAAGCACACUAUUUUCACCUUUUUUGUUUGUUUGCUUUUUCUUUCUCACGGUUUUUCCCUUUUGUUUUGAUUUUUUUUUUCACAAUGUGGCAAAUGUGGAAAUGUGUUUUAAAUGAUGGCACAUAUAGAACUUAUAUAAGAUUGCUUGCUCUUUUGGAGGGAGGUGAGGGAGGAUGGAGAAAAAAGUUUGGAAUUCAAGAUCUUACAGAAAUGAAUGUUGAAAACUUUUUUUACAUGUAAUCAGAAAAAUAAAAUUAAAAAAAAACUUGAAAAAGCCAUUAUAGGUAUUCUAUUCUAUUUUUAUUUAUUUUGAAAAAUAUUUCUGAAUUACAUUUUAAUCUGGUUCUGCCUCACUGGGGAAUAUUGCAGCCCCAAUGCACUUGCAUGUUUGAUACUUCAACAAGAGCAGUUAUUCUUAAGGGACUGUAUCUAUGGAGGCAGAAGGAGCUCACAUUAUUCACUUCUUGCUACAUGGCUAGCUUACUUUCCAUUUUCCUAAGAGUAGGGAAUACUUUCCAGUAAGUAAUUACUAUUUCUAGAAGCAUCACCAAAAACACCCCAGAAAACCUCAAGGCCUGUCACUACUUUCAGGAGUUACCUGCCCCCAGGGUCAGUGAGGUCAUUAUAUUCCAGUCCUGCCAGAGUACACGGAUUGGUCAAGUCAGGGCCUUCUUGGUUUGAGUUUUUUUUAAAAAAUUAAGAACGAAAUGCAAUGCUUCCCAGACCAUUGAAAGGCUAACAAAAGGAUAUUUUCUUAGCCAUAGCUAAGAGAAAGAUAUUCAACAAGGAUAGAUAGUGAGAACUCCUUGAGUUGAUUCUGCUGAGUGGAGCACCAUUCACUAGUUAGGCAGCUCCUUAUGAUUCCUCUGUCCUCAGGAAAUGAGAAAGCUGUUUCACCAAUGUGUGUCCUUAGUCUUCUGAGUCAACUAAAUGCUGAGAAAUGUCUUAGUACCUUUUAAGGAAAAACUAGACUAUGUUGCUUCUUUCUCCUGGGGCUGGACUCAGUAUGAGGUAGCUAUAAGGAAAGAUGUCUGGUAGGUUCAUUUUCUAGGUUUCUGUUUUCUUCCCUUUACUCUUGUUUCUGCUAUUACUAGGACAUUUGAGGAUUUCAGGAUAAGUCUUUAGCUCCUGUGUAUUUUGAGACUGGAUUGCUUUUGUUCCUAGCUUUUAGUCACUUUCACUUGCCUCACAAAUGAUUUUGAGGACCUUAUGAAGUAUGGGCUGGAUGUCCCCCACCUCCAGUUUAUAUAAAAAGAUGUGCUUUUAUCACUCUUUAUCAGCUCGGAAAACAUGCUUGAAGAUUUAAGAACACUAAUUGGUCAGGACACUGCAGGUGCCUGAACUUAUGGACUCUUUAAUGAGUGAUAAUGGACCAAGACACACAUACCUAGCUUGUGAGCAGGUUUUCAGUGUCUAUGAUUAAUCUUUAGGUCAACUUAAUCUUGACAAACAAUUAAGACUGUCAGCAUCUUGAAGUACCUGUUAUCUGGAAUGAAAACGACAGUAACCAUUCUUAUAUACAACUCAAGUAUGAUGAGCAGUCAGUGACAUUGGGAGAUGGGAUGUGGAAAGCAUUAUCUUGUGGUGGAUAAUCUAAGCAAUUUGGGAAUUAAUAAUUUGCUAAGAAUAUCUUUAAGAAAAACUAUUAUUAUCUUAAUAGUGGAGCAAAAACCCUUACAAAGUUACAAGGAAGAAAUGUAAAAUCUGUCAAACUUUUGUCAAACUUAUGAAGCUGCAAGUAAUUAUACUUCAAAGUAAAGUACUAAUUCAACAUACUAUCUGUGAUAGGACUGGUAUUUACCUGACACAACUUCUUUCUUUCCAAUCAUAACAUAGGGAGGGUUUUCCUAAAGAAAAAAAACAUACAAAAUUAUCCUCCAGAACCUUAUUAACAUUGAAUGCAGCUUUCUGAUCAUUAGAAAAAAUCCCAGCCAUAUAAAGUCUAGGCCUCUCAGACUUGUUGGGUCUGUGACCACACAAUUUACUCUACCCUACUGGCUACAUGAAUUUCCUUAUGAAGAUGAGGAAAAUUACUUCCAGGGAAGCUAAAUACUUCUCUAUUGUUGUUCUCUAUCAUUGGCAACACAAACCUCCUGAAUUAAAUGUUCAAUGGUUGACAAAUGCCCCAUUUUUUUCUUUUUAAAUUCAGUUUUAUUUUUUAUUUUCAGAUUUCCAUUCACUCUAUCCUAUUUCCUAUCAUCCCCCACUCUAUUGAGAAAGCAAGGAAAAACAAAAUUUAUCACAAAUUCUUAUAAUCAAGGAAAACAAAUUCAUUUAUUAGCCAUGUCCAAGAAGAAAAGAAAGAAAAUGUUUGCUUCAGGAUAUACUCCAAGUCAUUCAAAUUCCAUAAUUUGUUCAGAUGUGAAUGUGAUGUGAUCUAAAGUGCUAUAAAAAAUGAUGAAGUACACUGUUUACUAGACAAAGUCAAAAUGGGUACAUGAUUUAAACAUAAAGGGUAAUACCAUAAGCAAAUAAAAGAGAAUAGAAUAUUUUAUAUCUCAGAUUUAUGGAUAAGGGAAAACUUUAGGACUAACCAAGGAAUAAAAAGCAUUACUGAUGUAAAAUGCAUAAUUUUGAUUACACUAAAUUUAAAAAUUUUUGAACAAACAAAACCAAUGCAGUCAAGAUUAGAAGGAAAGUAGGAAAUGGAGAAAAAAAUUAUAACAAAUUUCUCUGAUAAAAUGCUUUCCCUAAUUGCCUAAUUCAAAGUUCUCGGAAUAAAAAAAUCAAAGCUAUCUGUAGUCAUAUAAAAAUGCUUUAAAUCACUAUUGAUUAGAGAAGUGUAAAUGAAAAUAACUUUGAAAUGCUAUCUAAUGCUUAUUAGAUUGGCUAACGUGACAGAAAAGUAAAAUGACAAACAUUGAAGGGAAUGUAGAAAAAUAGAGAUACUGAUGCACUAUUGGUGUUGUGAACUGAUCUAACCUAUUUUGGAAAGCGAUUUGCAACUAAGUGCAAAAGAUUAUAUUACUGUACAUACCUUUUAACCAAGAAAUGCUACUAGUAGUUUUGUGCUCACAAUAGAUUUUUUUUAAGUAAAAGGAUAUAUAUGUGCAAAAAUGUUUUUAAUAAUUCUUUGGCAAAGAAUUGGAAAUCGAAGGGAUGUUCAUAAAUUGGGAAAGGGAAGGGAGCAAGGGAAAGGGAACAUGUUUUAAUUUAUGAUUGUAAUAGAAUACUAUUGUGCCAUAAGAAAUGAUGAGUAGGGUGCCUUUGAAAAACCUAGAAAGACUUAUAUGAACUGAUGCAAAGUGAAAUGAGAAAAACCACAAAAACUUUGUAUACAAUAACAGCAAAACUGUAUGAUGAUCAACUGUGAAUGACAGUUAUUCUCAACAAUACAAUGAUCUGAAGGACUUAUGAUGGAAAAAUGCUAUCUACCACCAGAGAAAUAAAUGGAUUCUAAAUGCAGACUGAAA